This 28-nucleotide non-coding RNA is filed under the name Mus musculus (house mouse). The record is from RNAcentral. Lineage: Eukaryota; Metazoa; Chordata; Mammalia; Rodentia; Muridae.
UGUUUUCCAAAGAUGCUCUUGAAGUAGU